AACACAAGCCAGAUUUCAGACUACAUUUCCACUUACAACAUUAAACUCAAUUAUAUUUUAGUGUGUGCUGAUUUUAUGUAAAACAUACUGGAAAAAUCACUUUGCCAAGUACCCCUCCUACCCCCUUUCCCUUCUUCAGCAUUGAAUGUUUAGGAUGGAAAGGUAAUGACAUUUGAUAGGUCAUACUCAAUCGAAUUUAUUGUGCAACUGUGUACUUUGUACUAUGCUUGCAUUUAAACAGCAUGUCAAAGAACAUAAAAGUCUACUUACAGCAGCCAUGGAAUUGAGCUGAUCAAUGUAGAAUUCAGGCCAACUUGUAGCUCCCUUGUUUUCUUCUUGUUCCUAAAAAGCGGGGGAAAGUGACAUAUCACCCAGCAUACACACAUAGCACCUAGAAACAAUCCGACUUCCAGAGCACUUGGACAAUGACCCAUUCAAGCCUUUAGAAGACAUGAAGAUACACCAAGGAGCUGGUUUAAAAGAGAAACUGAUUGGAAAGAAGUGUAUGAAGAAGAAGGAAAGAAAACUGUGUACCUCUUUAAAGGAGCCUGCUAGAGAAUGAGGUGCUUCACACUACCCACUUUCUUUAAAGAUUCACAUGACUGACCUCCUAUUGAGGCUUGCUUUUAUUAUUGAGGUUUAGUGCUGACAGUGAGAGUGCAGAUGUAAAGGUGAAUGCGGGCUGUUUCACUGAAAAGGAAAAGUCCAUGGCAAACCAAACCAACCCAUUCACAUGCUCUCCUCUUCUCCUUCCCUGGCUCCCCACCAAUGCCAGAAUAGAAAACUGGGACUCACCAC
This is a long non-coding RNA of Callithrix jacchus (white-tufted-ear marmoset), 798 nucleotides long. RefSeq lists it as uncharacterized. The record is from RefSeq and is a predicted model, not a curated record. Lineage: Eukaryota; Metazoa; Chordata; Mammalia; Primates; Cebidae.